Molecule: long non-coding RNA, 1508 nt
Organism: Nematostella vectensis (starlet sea anemone)
Lineage: Eukaryota; Metazoa; Cnidaria; Anthozoa; Actiniaria; Edwardsiidae
Exons: 2
Source: RefSeq, a predicted model, not a curated record
GAGACACAUAUACGUGUCUCGUUGAGGGAAACGUUGCGUGACUGAAUCAAAAAGCGGCUGCGAGGCGACUACACUUAGGACCCAGGCUUGUUUCUUCUAAAAAAAACGCCAGGAGGCUUUCGCUGGAAACUGCUUUCGGGCAAAGACGACUCCCGUCUAAUCCUGUGGAACCCCGGCCGACGUCCCGUUAGGUCUCGCAAGCUGACCUUCCCUGCCACUAUAUCAAGGGACACGGGGAUCCCGCACACGACCUGCCAUCCGCCAUAGCCAUCACAUCCAAAUUGCAACUGGGCUUGAAUGUACGGCGGCGUGCGGCGACGACGACGACGACGGCGAUGAUGAUGAUGAUGAUGAUGAUAAAAAUAAUAUGAAUGCUAGUUCACGUGAGCGCAGAUACAACGUGGUCAAGUCGAAGGCAUACGACUCAUGUCUGACCACAGAGCACAGCUUAGGCCUAGUUUAAAGGCCGCAUUAACGUCGCGCCGUAUAAAAUUCGAAUUUUAGUCGAAGUAAAUAUAGCGGUGGUUUUAGACGCCGUUUUAAAUUAGUUGUAGGUAAAUAAUUUAGUUCUAGCGGGCUAGCGAUAAGUGCCUGCGCUAUAACAAUGACAGCGGUAUAUGGCUCGUUUCGCGGCUUGAAACUUCAUGUAGCCAUCAAUAUAGUGUGUCCUGGAUACUAACUCUAACCCAAACCCUAACCAUAUUGAUGGCUACAUGAAGUAUUAUGCUUUAUCGAGUAUUAAAAGGUACUGUUGGUCUAAGCUGAAACGGUACUGUCGGUCUAAGGCCUAGUUUAAAGGCCGCAUUAACGUCGCAUUAAAUUCAGUCGUAAUAAAUUUGUACAAUUUUAUACAUGGUUAAUUCGUCGUCUAAAACCAUUUUAUACGGCCGGCCGAAUUAAAUACGAGUCUGCGAGAUAAUACGCCUGGUCCAGGCGCAUAGUUCUGCUUAAGUCAGAUUGGUUUUAGACGCCGUAUUAUUCAUGCGCCGUUUAGAAUGCAUAAGUUAUUAUAUUGAAUAUUGUAUUUAUUGGUCCUCUUAUGUUUUUCGAAGACAAAUGGCGGCGUACCAGAAACCCACGUCUCGAUAGACUCGCAAUUUUAUAUUCAAGCACACAGAACACUAAUUUCGUUUUUGUCAAUUUGCAUGCCUGCUUUUCUUAGGAAGAUGUAGGAUGCAGACGAAAGCGAUGGGGACGGACAGGGUCUUGGCCAUGUGUUUGGAUAUGGAAAGCUGACCGUAGAUCUCCUUGAAGGAUCGAAGAUCGCUAAAUUCGUCUUUAUUUAGAUGGACCUCUGGUUCUACUUUGUUUGGGAUGUUUUCCUAGAACAACUAUUUUUACAUUUCUGGUAUUGUGAUAAAUUUCGAAAUAUAAAGCUAUUACUGUACUUAGAGCUUAUUUUCCUAGAGAAUGGAAGCUUAAAAAGCUGAGAAAUUGGUAUUAAUUCAGUCAGACCCUCGUUGUGUUUAGUGUGAGAUGCGAUUAGAAACACAGCAGUUCGGAGAUUG